RNAcentral lists this ribosomal RNA (509 nucleotides) under uncultured Sporidiobolus. RNAcentral's name for it is "eukaryotic LSU rRNA". It matches the Rfam family "Eukaryotic large subunit ribosomal RNA", at positions 107 to 553 of the family's 3401-position model. Lineage: Eukaryota; Fungi; Basidiomycota; Microbotryomycetes; Sporidiobolales. The record is from RNAcentral.
GCUCAAUUUGUAAUCUGGCGUCUUCGACGUCCGAGUUGUAAUCUCGAGAAGAGGUUUCCGAGAUACACCCCAUACAAGUCUCUUGGAACAGGACGUCAUAGUGGGGGAAACCCCCUACUGCAUGUCGGAUGCCUGCUACUUUGUGAUACACUUUCACAGAGUCGAGUUGUUUGGAAAUGCACUUCAAAUGGGGUGGAAAAUUCCAUCUAAAGCUAAUAAUGGGCAAAAAACCGAUACCCAACAAUUACCGGGAGGGAAAAAUGAAAACCCCUUUGAAAAAAAAUUUAAAAGCACGUGAAAUUGUUGAAAGGGAAAGGAUUGCAACGAUACUUGCUCUUCGGGGUCCCUCGGUCGUCUGGCCCGCCUACUCUUUUCGGUGCGGAAAAUCAUAGACUGAAGGCACCGGUUACGACUGUGUGAAUGCUCUUUCCUGGAUUCUGCCUGGGGGACUGGUGAACCCACCAGGCUUUUACCAGGACCUUCCUUCUAUCCACGCUCAGGAUGAAGGU